AGUGAACGCUGGCGGUAGGCCUAACACAUGCAAGUCGAACGGCAGCACAGUAAGAGCUUGCUCUUACGGGUGGCGAGUGGCGGACGGGUGAGGAAUACAUCGGAAUCUACUUUUUCGUGGGGGAUAACGUAGGGAAACUUACGCUAAUACCGCAUACGACCUACGGGUGAAAGCAGGGGAUCUUCGGACCUUGCGCGAUUGAAUGAGCCGAUGUCGGAUUAGCUAGUUGGCGGGGUAAAGGCCCACCAAGGCGGCGAUCCGUAGCUGGUCUGAGGGGAUGAUAAGCCACACGGGAACUGGGACACGGUCCAGACGCCUGCGGGAGGCACCAGUGGGGAAUAUUGGACAAUGGGGGCAAGCCUGAUCCAGCGAUACCGCGUGGGUGAAGAAGGCCUUCGGGUUGUAAAGCCCUUUUGUUGGGAAAGAAAAGCAGCAGGUUAAUACCCCGCUGUUCUGACGGUACCCAAAGAAUAAGCACCGGCUAACUUCGUG
This 492-nucleotide ribosomal RNA is filed under the name uncultured bacterium. Its description in RNAcentral is "partial 16S ribosomal RNA". It matches the Rfam family "Bacterial small subunit ribosomal RNA", at positions 29 to 507 of the family's 1533-position model. The record is from RNAcentral.